UAGAGUGCUAAACUCCAAACCUUUGUGAACAUAUACGUGUUGCUUCGGCGGGUUGGGGGCCCAGCGCCCACCGUCGCCCGCCGGGGACCCAAACUCUUGCCUUCUAGCGGAAUCUUCUGAGUGAAAGCAAAUAUAUCA
RNAcentral lists this unclassified non-coding RNA (138 nucleotides) under uncultured Acremonium. Its description in RNAcentral is "sequence contains ITS1". Lineage: Eukaryota; Fungi; Ascomycota. The record is from RNAcentral.